CUGCGCGGAAGAUGUAACGGGGCUAAACCAUGCACCGAAGCUGCGGCAGCGAACGUAUCACCCAAGACAACUUUACGGAGUUGACGAUUGACGGAGCGAAGCGACGUCAAAGCGUUCAUUAAAGUCGAGUUGGCUUAGGGAUACGUUCGUUGGGUAGGGGAGCGUUCUGUAAGCCUGUGAAGGUGUGUCGUGAGGCAUGCUGGAGGUAUCAGAAGUGCGAAUGCUGACAUAAGUAACGAUAAAGCGGGUGAAAAGCCCGCUCGCCGGAAGACCAAGGGUUCCUGUCCAACGUUAAUCGGGGCAGGGUGAGUCGACCCCUAAGGCGAGGCCGAAAGGCGUAGUCGAUGGGAAACGGGUUAAUAUUCCCGUACUUGGUGUUACUGCGAAGGGGGGACGGAGAAGGCUAUGUUGGCCGGGCGACGGUUGUCCCGGUUUAAGCGUGUAGGUGUGUGUUCCAGGUAAAUCCGGUUCACUUUAACACUGAGGCGUGACGACGAGGCACUACGGUGCUGAAGCAACAAAUGCCCUGCUUCCAGGAAAAGCCUCUAAGCAUCAGGUAACACGAAAUCGUACCCCAAACCGACACAGGUGGUCAGGUAGAGAAUACCAAGGCGCUUGAGAGAACUCGGGUGAAGGAACUAGGCAAAAUGGUGCCGUAACUUCGGGAGAAGGCACGCUGACACGUAGGUGAAGUGAUUUACUCAUGGAGCUGAAGUCAGUCGAAGAUACCAGCUGGCUGCAACUGUUUAUUAAAAACACAGCACUGUGCAAACACGAAAGUGGACGUAUACGGUGUGACGCCUGCCCGGUGCCGGAAGGUUAAUUGAUGGGGUCAGCGUAAGCGAAGCUCCUGAUCGAAGCCCCGGUAAACGGCGGCCGUAACUAUAACGGUCCUAAGGUAGCGAAAUUCCUUGUCGGGUAAGUUCCGACCUGCACGAAUGGCGUAAUGAUGGCCAGGCUGUCUCCACCCGAGACUCAGUGAAAUUGAACUCGCUGUGAAGAUGCAGUGUACCCGCGGCAAGACGGAAAGACCCCGUGAACCUUUACUAUAGCUUGACACUGAACAUUGAGCCUUGAUGUGUAGGAUAGGUGGGAGGCUUUGAAGUGUGGACGCCAGUCUGCAUGGAGCCGACCUUGAAAUACCACCCUUUAAUGUUUGAUGUUCUAACGUGGACCCGUAAUCCGGGUUGCGGACAGUGUCUGGUGGGUAGUUUGACUGGGGCGGUCUCCUCCUAAAGAGUAACGGAGGAGCACGAAGGUUGGCUAAUCCUGGUCGGACAUCAGGAGGUUAGUGCAAUGGCAUAAGCCAGCUUGACUGCGAGCGUGACGGCGCGAGCAGGUGCGAAAGCAGGUCAUAGUGAUCCGGUGGUUCUGAAUGGAAGGGCCAUCGCUCAACGGAUAAAAGGUACUCCGGGGAUAACAGGCUGAUACCGCCCAAGAGUUCAUAUCGACGGCGGUGUUUGGCACCUCGAUGUCGGCUCAUCACAUCCUGGGGCUGAAGUAGGUCCCAAGGGUAUGGCUGUUCGCCAUUUAAAGUGGUACGCGAGCUGGGUUUAGAACGUCGUGAGACAGUUCGGUCCCUAUCUGCCGUGGGCGCUGGAGAACUGAGGGGGGCUGCUCCUAGUACGAGAGGACCGGAGUGGACGCAUCACUGGUGUUCGGGUUGUCAUGCCAAUGGCACUGCCCGGUAGCUAAAUGCGGAAGAGAUAAGUGCUGAAAGCAUCUAAGCACGAAACUUGCCCCGAGAUGAGUUCUCCCUGAGACUUAGAGUCUCCUGAAGGAACGUUGAAGACGACGACGUUGAUAGGCCGGGUGUGUAAGCGCAGCGAUGCGUUGAGCUAACCGGUACUAAUGAACCGUGAGGCUUAACCUU
Molecule: ribosomal RNA, 1873 nt
Filed under: Salmonella enterica subsp. enterica serovar Typhimurium str. DT104
Lineage: Bacteria; Pseudomonadati; Pseudomonadota; Gammaproteobacteria; Enterobacterales; Enterobacteriaceae
Description: bacterial LSU rRNA
Rfam family: Bacterial large subunit ribosomal RNA
Source: RNAcentral